UUUUCUUUUUUUUUCUUUCGCGAGAGUUACGGUUUUGCUUCCGCGAGAGGCACGGUUUUGCUUUCGCAAGAGUCAUCUCCGUGCCUCUCAAAAACAAAAAAAAAUGCAUUUUCUGCGCUUUUUUCCUUUUGCGAGAGCCACGGUUGUGCUUCCUCAAGAGGCACGGGUGUGCUUCGCGAGAGUCACGGCCGUGCCUCUCGGAAAGGAAAAAAACAUGUUUUCUGUUUUUUUUCCUUUCACGAGAGUCACGGUUAUGUUUCCGCGAGAGGCACGGUUGUGCUUUAGCGAGAGUCACGGUCGUGUCUCUCGGAAACGAAAAAAAACAUGUUUUCUAAUUUUUUUUCUUUGCGAGUCAUGGUUUUGCUUCCACGAGAGGCAUGGUUGUGCUUUCACGAGUCACGCCCUUGCCUCUCGGAAACGAAAUAAAAACAUGUUUUCUGUUUUUUUUUCCUUUCGCGAGAGUCACGAUUUUGUUUCCGCGAGAGGCACGAUUGUGUUUUCGCGAGAGUCAUGGCCGUGCCUCCUCGGAAACGGGAAAAAACGCGUUUUCUCUUUUUAUUUUCUUCCGCGAGAGUCACGGUUUUGUUUCCGCGAGAGGCACGGCUGUGAUUUCGUGAGAGAUACGGGUGUGCCUCUUUCGGAAAGGGAAAAACCCGUGCUCCCAGUUCAAUUUUUUUCGUCCGGCUUUUUUCGUGAAAAAAAGUUCGUCAAAACCUAUCAACAUGGGAUCUAGUUUUGAAGAUGUCAACAUGAGGAAUCCAACGGUGAAAGUGGUUCGAGAUUUGAACGCACGGUUUAAGAGAUAAAAUGUUUUGAAUAAACGGAUCUACGAAAAGAGGGAAAACUAUGACAGGUGGCACGUUGCAUGUGCGCCACUUGUCGCAAUCAGGGGAGUUGAAGUGAUCUUUGCAACAAGUACUCUUCAACUAGUGAUUUCGCCCAGUAUCUAGUUUGUUUCUUUCUUCACUCGGUUUCGUUUUAUUUUUCAUUUUCUUGUUUAUAAUUUCAUUUAUAUUUUCGUAACAUUCUAAAAACAUAUAUUUCAGAAACAUUGCAUGUGACAAUUAAAAAACAUAUAGUUAAAAAACGUUCGUGACGUUUUGUAAAAAUGUUUGUAACAAAUGUAAAAAAUGUCCGCAUAAUUUAAUCAAUUUUUAUUGCCAUAAAUAAAUCACCGUGUAUCUGAAAAAUGUUCAAAAGAUGUAUUUAAGAAAACUGCUCUUUUUCGAAACAAGGGAGAGGGGUGGAGUGCUGCGGUUCUUCACAAGCACAAUGGCUUAUUCCAAGCAAGGCCUGCCAUUUGUUUCCCCAACAUCUCUAAUCCUUAACAUGCUGACCCGUUGGCAUGUCAGCGAGGCCUACAAUUGUCUGCAGAAGUUGGGGAGGAGAGAAUCAUACUGGAGACAGACAACCAACUGGUGGCUAAAGUUCUCGUAUCACUAGAGGUCGACCGUUCGAGAUAUGGUCCUCUCAUCAAAGAAAUUAAGGUUCUACUCGGCGGUGCCGUGGAGUGGAAGAUGGUUUGGGCUAGACAUACAGCUAACAAGGCUGCUCAUUUACUUGCGAGGGAUGACUGACUAAUUAAGUUAUGUAUAAGACUUGGCUUAAUGUUGCCCUGUUGUGUUGUGUAUCAGUGACCCCGCCGAAGAGUUUGCCCCUCAAAAAAGGAGUAAAAAGAAAAAUAUACUUUGUGUAUUUGGGAGAUGUUGGAUGACCCACAAGUAUAGAGAAUCUAUCGUAGUUCUUUUGAUAAGUAAGAUUGUCGAACCUAAUAAGGAGCAGAAGAAAAUGACAAGUGGUUUUCAAUACGAUAUUCUCUGCAAGCACUGAAAUUAUCGGUAACAGAUAGUUUUGUGAUAAAAUAAUUCGUAACGGGUAAUAAGUAAAUAAAGUAACUAAGGUGCGGCAAGGUGGCCUAAUCCUUUUUUUAGCAGAGGAAAAGCCUGGACAAACUCUUAUAUAAAGCAAAGCGCUCCCGAAAACACAUGUGAAUUAUUGUCAACUUAGCUUUCAUCAUGCUCAUUGAUUUGCGUUAGUUACUUUGAUAUUUCGAUAUGUGGGUGGACCGGUGCUUGGGUCCUUCCCUUCCUUGGACAAGCCUCCCACUUAUGAUUAACUCCUCUCGCAAGCAUCCGCAAUUAUGAAAGAAGAAUUAAGGUAAACCUAACCAUAAAAUGAAACAUAUGGGUCCAAAUCAGCCCCUUACGAAGCAACACAUAAACUAGGGUUUAAGCUUAUGUCACUCUAACAACCCAUCAUCUACUUAUUACUUUCCAAUGUGUGACGCCCCCGAUUCAAUCGUACACUAAUCAUGCACGCAAACGUGUACGAUCAAGAUCAGGGACUCACGGGAAGAUAUCACAACACAACUCUAAAACAUAAAUAAGUCAUACAAGCAUCAUAAUACAAGCCAGGGGCCUCGAGGGCUCGAAUACAAGUGCUCGAUCAUAGACGAGUCAGCGGAAGCAACAAUAUCUGAGUACAGACAUAAGUUAAACAAGUUUGCCUUAAGAAGGCUAGCACAAACUGGGAUACAGAUCGAAAGAGGCGCAGGCCUCCUGCCUGGGAUCCUCCUAACUACUCCUGGUCGUCGUCAGCGGCCUGCACGUAGUAGGCACCUCCAGUAUACUAGUCGUCGUCGACGGUGGCGUCUGGCUCCUGGACUCCAGCAUCUGGUUGCGACAACCAGAAAGAAGGGAAAGGGGAAAAAGGGGGGAGAAAGCAACCGUGAGUACUCAUCCAAAGUACUCGCAAGCAAGGAACUACACUACAUAUGCAUGGGUAUAUGUGUAAGGAGGCCAUAUCAGUGGACUGAACUGCAGAAUGCCAGAAUAAGAGGGGGAUAGCUAAUCCUGUCGAAGACUACGCUUCUGGCAGCCUCCGUCUUGCAGCAUGUAGAAGAGAGUAGAUUGAAGUCCUCCAAGUAGCAUCUCCAAGUAGCAUAUCCAGGUAGCAUCUCCAAGCGCAUCUCCAGUCGCAUCGCAUAGCAUAAUCCUACCCGGCGAUCCUCUCCUCGUCGCCCUGUAGAAAAGCGAUCACCGGGUUGUCUGUGGAACUUGGAAGGGUGUGUUUUAUUAAGUAUCCGGUUCUAGUUGUCAUAAGGUCAAGGUACAACUCCAAGUCGUCCUGUUACCGAAGAUCACGGCUAUUCGAAUAGAUUAACUUCCCUGCAGGGGUGCACCACAUAGCCCAACACGCUCGAUCCCAUUUGGCCGGACACACUUUCCUGGGUCAUGCCCGGCCUCGGAAGAUCAACACGUCGCAGCCCCACCUAGGCAAAACAGAGAGGCCAGCACGCCGGUCUAAACCUAAGCGCACAGGGGUCUGGGCCCAUCGCCCAUAGCACACCUGCACGUUGCGAGGGCGGCCGGAAGCAGAACUAGCCCCCUUAAUACAAGAGCAGGCUUACGUUCCAAUCCGGCGCGCGCCGCUCCGUCGCUGACGUCUGAAGUGCUUCGGCUGAUACCACGACGCCGGGAUACCCAUAACUACUCCCGCGUAGAUGGUUAGUGUGUAUAGGCCAGUAGCCAGACUCAGAUCAAAUACCAAGAUCUCGUUAAGCGUGUUAAGUAUCCGCGAAUGCCGAACAAGGCCAGGCCCACCUGUCUCCUAGGUGGUCUCAACCUGCCCUGUCGCUCCGCCACAAAGUAACAGUCGGGGACCGUCGGGAACCCAGGCCCACCUCUACCGGGAUGGAGCCACCUGCCCCUUCAGCCCCCAUCUCCGAAUAGUAUCACAGGUAAUGUAACUGUGUAAAGUAUAUAGUAUAUGCCCGUGAUCACCUCCCGAAGUGAUCACGGCCCAGUAGUAUAGCAUGGCAGACGGACAAGAGUGUAGGGUCACUGCUGGAACACUAGCAUCCUAUACUAAGCAUUUAGGAUUGCGGGUAAGGUAUCAAUGACUGUAGCAGCAAUGACAGGCUAUGCAACAGAAUAGGAUUAACGGAAAGCAGUAACAUGCUACACUACUCUAAUGCAAGCAGUAUAGAAGAGAAUAGGCGAUAUCUGGUGAUCAAGGGGGGGGGGGGCUUGCCUGGUUGCUCUGGCAAGAGAGAGGGGUCGUCAACUCCGUAGUCGAUCACAGGGGUACCGGCAGCGGUCUCGGGGUCUACCGGAAAAAGUAUCGAAGGGGGGAACACAAUAAAUAACAGAGCAAUCAAAUGUAAUACAAAGCAAGACGCGGCAAUACGUUGUGCUAGGUGUGCCCUAACGCGGUAGGUGGUGAUACCGACGAAGGGGGGAAACAUCCGGGAAAGUAUCCCCGGUGUUUCGUGUUUUCGAGCACAGGAGCCGGAGGGGGAAAGUUGCGAGUUUGAUAGGUUAGGGAUGCGUGGCGGACGAACGGGCUGCGUUUCUGGGUUCGUCUCGUCGUUCUGAGCAACUUUCAUGUAGAAAGUAUUUUCAUCUGAGCUACGGUUUAUUUUCUAUUAAUUUUAAAAGAUUUAAAUCAUUUUCAGGAUUUAUUUAAUUAUUUUAAUGCAACAUUAUCCAGAAUAGUGCUUGCUGAUGUCAGCAUGAUGUCAUCAGUCAACAGAGGUGUUGACUGGGUCAAGCUGACGCGUGGGUCCCGCAUGUCAUUGACUAUUUUAGUUAAUUAAGUUAAUCAGUUAAUUAGGUUAAUUAAUCUUAAUUAGUUACUUUAAAAAGAAUUAAUUAAGUUAAUUAUUUAGUUAAUUAAUUAAUUAAUAUUUAAUUUUAUCUAUCUAUUUACUUAUUUAUUUAUUUAUUUUAAUUCUCUUUUUUUAAUAACGUUUCAGGGGGGUGGGGCCCGUUUGGCACUGGCACAGAGGCCUUAGCGGGGCGGGCGCUGGGUGCGGGUGCGUGGGCGCUUGCCCGGGAUUACAGGGGGCGCCAGCCAGGGGUGAGGCCACGACGACGGCCGGAGGGGCCGCAGCCACGGCGAGGUCGGCCGGGCUGCGAGCGGCGCCAGCGAGGCGACGGAGCGGUGGACGGGGCCGGCAGCGGGCCGGAGCGGCAGGGAAGAGCGGGAUGAGCGCCGUGCGGGGCCGCGGUCGUGGUCGGGGCGGCCAUGGCGACCGCGACGACGAGCGGGGGAAAGGGGAGGAUGAACGGGUCCUCACCAGCGGUGGUGAGCAGGGAGGCGUCGAGGCGCGUGGAGGCCGUUCGGGGAGGAGGACGGGGACGACGGCGUCGGAGACGAGGCAGGCCGUCGAGGGAGGAAGGCGGGGCCGGUCCAGCGGGGUGGCAUGGUCGAGGCGGCGUUCCGGCCGACGGCGGGGGAACGAGGUCGGUGUCGUCCGGCGAGGCAGCACCCGCGACGGCGUCGGCACCGCGGCGUUGAGGCGAGGAGGCGGACGGGGACGGCGCUCCGUCGAGGAGAGAGAUGAGGAGGCGAGGAGGCAGGCCGGCGUGGUGGCUCCGACGAGGUCGAAGCGGCGGCGGUGAUGGUGCUCCAGGGACGAUAGGCGACGCGGUCGGCGGGUCGAUGGAGUCGGGGCGGGUCGUUCCCCCGAUCCCGAUCUGGAUCGGGGAAGGGGAGAGAGAUGUGGGGAUCGUNNNNNNNNNNNNNNNNNNNNNNNNNNNNNNNNNNNGAUUUGCAUUCCUUUUCUUAUUUUCUUUUCUGUUUUAUUUAUUUUAGUUAGCAAAACAGCUUUACAAAAAUAUAACCCCUACUCCUAAAUUAGCAUAAUAACAUAGGCCACCUACUCCAAAAAGUUUGGUGAUUAUAUAAACUAGAUUAACAUCUGUUUAGUAUUUAAAAGCAUUUAACUAAUUGUCUUGCUGCUGUUUUACUUACUAUAGUGCAUUUAAAUACUUUACACAAGUGUGGUUUCUUCACCAAUAUUUAAUAUGGAUUAUCUGGCUUACUCCGAACAUUUUUGUUUUAAUAUUUGAAAACUUUUAUUGUUGCCUGAUUUUGAAUUUGAAUUUGAAUCGGUUUCGAACUAACUCGAGAUUAGCCACCGUGAUCAAAGUGACAUGGCAUCAUUAGCAGAGAAUUACUGUAGCUUAAUUAUCCGGGCGUCACACAAUGCCUUCCCCUAGGCCCAAAUAAUGGUGAAGUGUCAUGUAGUCGACGUACACAUAACAUCACUAGAGGAGAGAUAGCAUACAUCUCAUUAAAACAUCAAACGUAUACCAAAUUCACAUGAUUACUUAUAACAAGACUUCUCCCAUGUCCUCAGGAAAAAUCGUAACUACUCACAAAAGAUAAUCAUAAUCAUAAUCAGAGAAGUAUUAAUUAUCAUUAAGGAUCUGAGAAUAUAAUCUUCCACCUGAUAAACCAACUAGCAUCAACUACAAAGAAUAAUCAACACUACUAGCAACCCACAGGUACCAAUCUGAGGUUUUGGGACCAAGAUCGAAUACAAGAGAUGAACUAGGGUUUGAGAGGAAAUGGUGCUGGUGAAGAUAUUGAUGGAGAUUGACCCCUUCUCGAUGAGAGGAUCUACGGUGAUGACGAUGGCGACGAUUUCCCCCUCCUAGAGGGAUGUUUCCCUGGCAGGACAGCUCCGCCUGAGCCCUAGAUUGGUUCUGCCCGGGUUCCGCCUCGAGACGGCGGCGCUUCAUCCCGAAAGCCUCCUUCUAUUUUUUCCAGGUCAAAACAUGGCAUAUAGCCAAAGAUGGGCACCGAAGGCCUGCCAUGGGGCCCACAAAGUCGGGGGGCGCGCCCUCCACCCUUGUGGCUGGCUGGUGGCCCCCCUCUAGUACUUUCUUCGUCCAAUAUUUUUAUAUAUUUCAAAAAUAAGUUCCGUGAAGUUUCAGGACUUUUGCAGUAAUGCAGAAUAGGUCUUUAAUAUUUGCUCAUUUUCGAGUCCAGAAUUCCAGCUGCCGGUAUUCUCCCUCUUCAUAUAAACCUUAUAAAAUAAAAAAGAAAAGACAUAAAUAUUAUGAUAUAAUGUGUAAUAACAGUACAUAAUGCAAUAAAUAUCAAUAUUAAAGCAUGAUGCAAAAUGAACGUAUCAAUGUUUAACGUGUAUCACAAAAAUGUUUCACGUAUACACUAUAAAUGUACAUUAUCUAUUGAAAAAAUAGUAAUGAAGGCGAAAAAACCUAGAAAAUCAAAUAAAAUGAUGAAAAACGACAAAAAAUAAAAAGGAAAAAAGGGCUAAACCGAUGAUGAAACAAAGAAAUGAAAGAAGGAAAUCAAAGAAAAACAACAAAUGACGCAUCGGGAGAACACUGCAGGUGAGACGUAAAAUGGGUCGGCCCAGAAAUGACACAUUGCCACCUCUUUUAGCGCUGUGUUGGUUUUCCCCGAAGAGGAAGGGAUGAUGCAGCAAAGUAGCAUAAGUAUUUUUCUCAGCUUUUGAGAACCAAUGUAUCAAUCCAGUAGGAGGCUACGCGUGAGUCCCUCGUACCUGCAUAAAACAAAUAAAUCAUCGCAACCAGCGCAAAUAGGGGUUGUCAAUCCAUAUAGGGCCACUUACGAGAGUGAGAUCUGAUAGAUAUGAUAAGAUAAUAUUUUUGGUAUUUUUAUGAUAAAGAUGCAAAGUAAAAUAAAGGCAAAGUAAAUAACUAAGUAGUAGGAGAUUAAUAUGAUAAAGAUAGACCCGGGGCCAUAUGUUUCACUAGUGGCUUCUCUCGAGAGCAUAAGUAUUCUACGAUGGGUGAACAAAUUACUAUUGAGCAAUUGACAGAAUUGAGCAUAGUUAUGAUAAUAUCUAGGUAUGAUCAUGUAUAUAGGCAUCACAUCCGAGACAAGUAGACCGACUCCUGCCUGCAUCUACUACUAUUACUCCACUCAUCGACCGCUAUCCAGCAUGCAUCUAGAAUAUUAAGUUAAAAACAGAGUAACAUCUUAAGCAAGAUGACAUGAUGUAGAGGGAUAGACUCAUGCAAUAUGAAGAAAACCCCAUCUUGUUAUCCUCGAUGGCAACAAUACAAUACAUGCCUUGCUGCCCUUACUAUCACCGGGAAAGGACACCGCAAGAUUGAAACCAAAGCUAAGCACUUCUCCCAUUGCAAGAAAGAUCAAUCUAGUAGGCCAAAUCAAACUGAUAAUUCGAAGAGGCUUGCAAAGAUAACCAAUCAUACAUAAAAGAAUUCAGAGAAGAUUCAAAUAUUAUUCAUAGAUAGACUUGAUCAUAAACCCACAAUUCAUCGGUCUCAAUAAACACACCGCAAAAAGAAGAUUACAGCGAAUAGAUCUCCACAAAAGAGGGGGAGAACAUUGUAUUGAGAUCCAAAAAGAAAGAAAAAGCCAUCUAGCUACUAACUAUGGACCCAUAGGUCUGAAGUAAACUACUCAUACUUCAUCGGAGAGGCUAUGAUGUUGAUGUAGAAGCCCUCCGUGAUCGAUGCCCCCUCCGGUGGAGCUCCGGAACAGGCCCCAAGAUGGGAUCUCGUGGAUACAGAAAGUUACGGCGGUGGAAUUAGGGUUUUGGCUCAUGUUCUGAUCAUUUGGGGGUACGUGGAUAUAUAUAGGAGGAAGAAGUACGUCGGUGGAGCAACAGGGGCCCCACGAGGGCGGAGGGCGCGCCUGGGGGUAGGCGCGCCCCCUACCUCGUGGGUUCCUGUUAUGUGGCUUGACGUAGGGUCCAAGUCUCCUGAGUUGUAUUCGGUGAGAAAAUCACGUUCCCGAAGGUUUCAUUCCGUUUGGACUCUGUUUAAUAUUCCUUUUCUUCGAAACCCUAAAACAGGCAAAAACAGCAAUUCUGGGUUGGGCCUCCGGUUAAUAGGUUAGUCCUAAAAAUAAUAUAAAAGUAAAUAAUAAAGUCCAAUAAUGUCUAAAACAGUAGAUAAUAUAGCAUGGAACAAUAAAAAAUUAUAGAUACGUUGGAGACGUAUCACACAUCGGGAAACACUUCAGGCGAGACGAGACGUAAUACGCGUCUCAAAACGCACAACCCUGGUUCCCUCCAACGUGCUCUUUGAGCUCACGCCUGUUUUUUCCCUUUCUUUUUGUAAUUUUUUUGUCUUUUUUGUUUUUUGUUUUUCAAAAAAGGUUGUGAUUUUAGAAAGCAUUUGAAUUUACAAAAUCUUCCUGGAUUUCAAUAACUAUUUCUAUAUUUCGAAAAAAUAUUCUAAAAUCCAAAAAAUCAUGAAUUUACAAAAAAUGGUUUGAAUUUGAAAAAAUAUUCACAAAUUUGGAAUAUGUUUCUAGAGAUCAAAAAAUAUUUAUGAAUUGGAAAAUAGUUCUCAUAUUUCAAGAAAAUUCAUGAAUUUUAAAAUAUGUUUAUGUAUUUUCAAAAAUCAUGAAUUUGAAAUUGUUUCUGUACUUCAGAAAAUGUGCAAUAAUAUGAUAAAAUGUUUCAAGAUUUCAAAAAUUAUUCUUGUAUGCAAAAAAAUCUUCUUAGAUUUCAAAAUAUAUAUAUAUAUAAUCAUUAAUUUGAAAUUUUUCCAAAUAUAGAAAAUAUUCAUUAAUUAAUAAAAUGUUCCAAAUAUGAAAAAUAUGAGAAGGUUAAAAUUUAAAUAAAAUCUCAUGUUUUAGAAACAUGUUCACGAAAAUAUAAUAAUGAUAAAUGCAAAAGGUAAAAAUGGUAAAAGGUAAUAAAAAUAAAAGGGAAAAACACAGAACAAAAAAUCUGUUACGGGAUGGUCCUAGAACCUUAACCGAAACCGGUCGGGGGAGGAACUUGGAAUGGGCUGCCGCAUAUAGCAGGUCCUCUCCUUGGGGGGUUUGCGUUUGGUCGAAAUUCCCUGCCCUACGCGGGGAAUAGGACCCGCCACUUGCUUGCAAAUAAGAUUGAGGAAAUUUGGCCUCAAUUUCCUUUACCAGUAAUAUCCCGCAACAAAUUGAAAUUUUCCGUCGUAUGACGAAGUGCUUGUUCAUAGCAAAAAGGAAACUAUGUGUUGGGUUGAAGACUUGGACUGGGUUUGAUAGAGUGAGCGCUAAAUGGAGUGUGUGAAAAUAAAACGGCAAAAUGGGAUAGGCUCCGCGUGUGGUUUGCUGAGAAUUGUCAAGCCGGUAAAUGGGCUUGGCAACCCAUUCUCCUGGACAUGAUGUCAAUUGUCAUGUAGCCAAUUCCAGAUGGAGGUCUAUUACAAGCCGAGCCAGAAAAGGGGCAUCAUUUACUUUGCACGGUGUCAUAGCCGGGUUGCAAACUUUCCAAAGAGGGUAUAUCUGGAGAAUUGGUGAUGGUAACAACGUUAAGAUAUGGGCUGAUCCCUGGGUACCUGUUAAUCUGAAUAGAAUGAUAGUAUCUCCAAGGGGCUAGACAAUUAUUACCCAAGUCAAUGAAUGCAUAGAUCCAUUUACCAAUCAGUGGGACGAGGAGCUUAUCAGAUCCACCUUUUGGCCAAUUGGUGUUAGAAGGAUCCUUCAAAUUAUAUUGAAUUACUUGGCAUUUCAUGAUUUCAUCUCAUGGCACUGUUCUAGGACUAGGAUUUUUUUCUCAAAAAAACUGCUUAUCACCUUGAAGGGCAACAUAAAUAUGGUACUAGUUUACUCGGGGAACUCCUUUACUCGGACUAGGACCAUUUGUGACAAAUCUAGUUUCGAGAGCUCUUUGGCAGUUGUAAAUUCCACCCACAGUGCAUAUCUUCUGUUGCGAAGUCUCCAGGGUAUUGUUCCCUUAAAAUCUAUUUUAGCGAAUCCCCAUUAGAUUGAUAGGACAAUGUCUAAUCUGUAAGCAUGGAGGAGAGGAUGUGAAACACCUUUUGUUAGCAUGCAAUAUGGUUGUGCAACUAAGGACUAGACUGGGAAUCUAUGAUCGAAUUGUUGCUGUGGUUAGGGCAGAUCGCUCAGGGUCCGAGACCUCGGAACAUCUAAUCUGUGGUGCGGGAGGAGUUAUGCCAGGCACUCAGAUAACCGGGAUCACAGAAACAAUUGCAGUCGGUUGUUGGUACUUAUGGUGGCUAAGACCCCAAGUAACGCAUGAAGGAAAAGUCUUUCCGUAUGGCGAGGUGCAGUUUCUAUUCUAGCAGUUACAGGAAAUGCUGCAAAUAUAAAAGAUUCUUAAGCAAAUGUUGUUGAUGGUCGCUGGGCAAAACCAGAGCCUAGGUCAGUAAAGCUAAAUGUUGAUGCGUCCUAGUUUGCAGAUGAAGCGGCUGGGGCAAGGGCGGAUGUUCUCAGAGACUGUAACGACAAUUUUUUGAUGAGAAGAAAAUAUAGUCAAUGCCCUACUGAGAGCGGCAAAAUGGCUCCUGAGCUCAACUGCUCCCGCUCGUGCACAGUAAAAUCAAAAUAAAUACUAGAAAAUUUUAAAAAUCUGAUUUUUUUUCUAUGAAAGAUAUUUGAGUGUGCGAGGUCCGUGCCAAUUUUUAGCGUGUUUGGACAUCUGGGUAGUUCUCAGAAAACAACAAUUUGAGAUAUGUGAAAAAGUUUACUAUUUAUGCAUUGUUCGGACCGAUUUUGUUUUUGUUUGUUGAGAGCUACUCAGGUGUCCGAAGGCGGUGAGAAUUGGCACGACCUCACGCACUCAAACAUCUCCCAUGCAAAAAAUGAUUUUUUUUUAUUUUUCCAGUAUUUUUUUGAAUUUACUGUUCGAUGAGUGUGGAUGAGGCCUGGCUCAGAAUUGGAUAUUCGGUGCCCUACUUCACAUCAUUUGCUACGGCAUGAAAAAAAUGGAUGCCUUAAUUUUAUAUCGUCUGUUAUAUAUGGAAGGAAAGAAAUCUGGUGCCCUAAAACUGUUUCCGAAUGCCCUAUUUUAGGUAAUCUGUUGGAGAUGCUCUUACAUCCCUCGGUUUGAUCCUGAUUAAGGUUGGGGCCGGGUUGGACGGUGGGUUUUCCUUUACCUUUACUGCGUCGAACUUGCCUUCGUUAGUUUCAAAUUAUAAAAUUUUGCUUUAGAGCUUUUUUAGGGUACCCUGUAGUGAAUAAAGACCGUCCAUCCGCAAAAUCAAACGGCCAUGACCGACCUGUACUGCUGCAAUCAGGCCAACAACAUGGCAAGCAGUAUUAGUAGCACCGGUCGUUUUCGACCAACCAGUAUACAUGUUCUCAGGGCAUUCUGGGACUUCUACGAUUCACCUCGCACCGACCCACCCCGCCCGUUGUUUUCAUCUAUGGACUCUGGUAGAGUUCCGGUGGCCACCACUGUGCCUCCUCUUUCUUCUCCAGCCCGCCUUCCCUCGCUCAAGAAGCCCGAGUCUCGUUCCUUCCCCGUGCAUGGAUCCGGCGCUCGACUGCGUGGCGUAGGCCUCGGCCCAGACCGUGCUCUUCUUCUCCAAUAGGUCCGAUAGGACGACCAUGAGGCGUUGGCUUGCGCUCCUCCCAUGGCUGGCUGAGCGCUCGUUUUAUCUUGGUUCACAACGGCAGCGAGGAAACCACUUGGCGCCGUUGUCCGUCAAUGCGGAGGCUUGCCAUGUGCAGAAGUUCGUCGUCCCGUCCAUGACGACCAGGCAGGAUGAAGGAGGGCGUUGAGGUAGCCGUGGUCGCCAAGUGUUGGUUCCAUGUAUGUAUGUAUGUGAGGAGAGCAUGGCGGCGAUGGGAGCAAGCAGGCGAUGCCGAUUACAAGCUAUUACUACGAAAUAGGCUGGCAUCUUGGCCCAUCAACAAUCCCGUUUCAACGGUGAGAUUUAAUUAUACUGGUCCGCUCACGCCAAGCAGUAUAGGGUACCAUAAAAGAGCUCUUGCUUUAAUGGAAAAUGGGGCCUCAAACUGCUCACCGGAACAUUUCGAUCGGGUUAGACGCACAUCAGCACAUGCAUGGUACUAGCGGUACCGUUCCUCAACAAGACACGCGUUGGUACGUGCCGCCGUGUGUUCCUCGCCCAGAACCAGAUCCAAGGGAGCACAUGCACCAACGGUAUUGACUGUUGAGCAUUGCACCUUUGCAAGUACAGCGUCGAGUUGCCCCGGCCCCCCCGCACCGGCCGUGCCGUGCCGUGCGUGCCACGGUGACGCCUCCGCGGAGGCGGAGCCAUGCAUGGGAGGCCAAGGUGACCUCUCCAGCCAGCCAGCCAGCUUUGAAUGUUGGGCUGAUCAAACGUAUCGGAAGUGGCACAACAGUGUCUAUAUGGGAGGAUAAAUGGAUCCCAAAUACAUUGACAAAGGCACCUGUUGCACGUCUUGGCGAUGUACAAAUCAGCUGGGUAGCAAACAUUAUUGAUGAUGAGAAUUGGACUUGGAAGUCUGAAGUUAUAAGACAAUCCUUUAUCCCUCCAGAUGCGGAUGCAAUCCUUAAUAUCCCUUUGAGGACUGGAGGGGGAGAUGAUUUCUAUGCCUGGGCGUCUGAGAGGUCCGGGAUUUAUACUGUAAAAUCAGCGUAUCGCUCUCUAAUGAUUCAGAACGAGCAUAAAGCUCUAGAAGAAGGGACGACUACAGAUACUUCGGAGAUGGAUAAACAGUUGUGGUCUCGGUUAUGGAAACUCAAAGUGCUGCCCAAAGUUCGCGUCUUCUGGUGGCGCGUGAUGCGAGGGAUUCUUCCCGUCGAAAGUACACUGAAAUAUCGGCAUAUAUCCAGCGAGAGCAGGUGCAAAAUCUAUUUGAGUUCAGAGGAGGAUAUGAUGCAUGCAUUACUGAACUGUAUCCAUGCGAGAAGGUUUUGAAACGAAGCCCCGCAGUGGCUGCAUGUUAAGCGACCAGACCUGCACCCUCUUACUUGGGUUAAGGAUGUCUUGUGUGAGUCUCUGUUUUCAGAUUCUGAUAGAGCAAAACUUGUGUCUAUCAUGUGGGCUAUUUGGACUUCACGCAACAACAUCACACAUGACAAAGGAGAGUUUGAUCCUGUUCGGUCCAUGAAGCACAUACAGGAAGCUUUAGCGAUUUUAGAGUUACCUCAAGAUCAUGCUCGGAUCUUGCCUGGUCAUGGUUGGAGGCCGUCGGAUGAUGCGUGGAUAAAAAUCAACGUCGACGGUAGCAUUGCCAUGGAGUCCCGCCGAGGAGGGGUUGGAGGGGUAGCACGUUCUCCGUCUGCUUUCAAGGCUGCAUGGUGUAAGCCAUACUAUGGAAUCACAGACCCUCUUCUGGCUGAAGCGUUGGCUCUUCGAGAUGGCGUAAUUUUCGCAAAGCUUCGAGGUUAUGAUCAAGUCAUCUUGGAGACGGAUAGCCAAGAGGUUGUUAACCUCUGGCACUCGCGCCAUGAUUUUUCAAUGGUGGCGCCGAUUCUUGACGAGAUUGGGGAGCAUGCCAGCUCUUUUAAAUUUUUUCUUAUUCAACAUGUGGUGAGAUCAGCAAAUUUUCCUGCUCACCUUUGUGCGAAGCAACCUAACAUGAUGGAUGUAACAGAUUGUUGGUUAGACUCUAUGCCUAGUUUAUUUGUAACUAGCCUCCUGGCAGAUGUUGCCGGGGUGGUUUCUGUUGAAUAAAACUUUCUAAUUUGCCCUGCAAAAAAAAAAAAAAAGCCAGCCAGCCAGCCACCAUAGCGGCGCAUUGAAUUUGGCGUGCGUGGAGCGGGGCCAGAGAUCAAUCCAAUCUACGGGCUGAGGAGCUGGCUGUGGUGCAGUGUGUGGGCGCUGCAUGCGUACGGCGGCGUGCACGAUGGACGGGCAUGGAUCCCCACCCAGCGACGCCGUUCGUAUGCGCGUGCAUGUGGAAUGUCCUGCGUGCCGGAUCGGUUAUUGGGCGUUGAUGAUUGCCCUAUCUGCUCCGGUUUUAUGGCCAGCUGAGCUUCUCCUUUUCCAAGCUUCCGGUGUGCGCGUUCACAGUCUGUCUGCUAACCUAACCGGUACCCGGCCGGCCGGUGCGGUGGCGAUGCUUCCCGACGAUGAUGGGUGAUCCUAACUUGCUAGGCAGGGCUGGAAAUGUCGGCGAGUUAUUAAUUAGCGGCUCAUGUACUGAACUAGUACAACGUACGUGCUCCAGUAACUCGUCAGUUCAGCCGGUCGAUCGGGUACUCUUAUUAUGGGGGAAAAGACUGCAUGCACUAUACGUCGGCAUUGCUCAAAAGUCAAAACCAACUCACCAUGAACGGAAGAUGCACUCACACAAUGUAGGAGCUUCGGUUCACCCAAUCAGAAAGUAACUGAUGUGCAGCUAGCUAUAGCUAGCUACCUCGUCCUUGAGCUAAACACGUACCAUACGUACGUACGUACGUCGAGCUAAGCUAGCUACCUCGUGUUCCCGGCUUUCGAUCAGCUACGCAUAGCAAUACAUACAUGUACUAAUCCACAUCACAUGGCGCUAGCUGGACAGUGCGUGUGCAAACGACCAGUGUGUAUCCACGCCGAUUCUCAACAUCUUUUGUGGUACUGUACGUAUGAUUGUAUUUGGAUACGUCUCCAGAGUCCGUCCAGACCCCAGACUGUGUUGUAUAAAUCCCUCGUGCCCGUGCCUGCCGGUCCUUGUUUACACUCGGAGCGUCGUCGCCGACGCGGUGAAGCUGCAUUGCUUAACCACAUUGCCCGCCGCCUCCAAGUUAAAUGCCGGACCCAACAGCGCGCGAGUGGCAAAAAGGCCCAAUCGGUGAUUAAUCUCCACCGCUGCCCAACUCACCAGCCCUAUAAAUAACACACAAGCAUGACAGUACGCACAUCCCCUCUGUGUGUGCGUGUGUUGUCGCGAUCACAAUCAAUCUCACUCACUCACUCACUCACUCCAUCCAGCAGCGGCUCGCUCACUGUGUCACCGAGAAGAUACUCGGUAGCGCAAUGGCGGGGCGAGCGUGCUGGCGGUCGCUGGCCGUGGUGCUGGCGGUGGUGGGCGCGGCGGCGGCGACGGCCGGGGCGGCGCCGCAGGUGCCCUGCUACUUCGUCUUCGGGGACUCGCUGGUGGACAACGGCAACAACAACGGCAUCGUCUCCCUGGCGCGCGCCAACUACCCGCCCUACGGCGUCGACUUCGCCGGCGGCCCCACCGGACGCUUCUCCAACGGGCUCACCACCGUCGACGUCAUCUGUAAGCAUAAAACUUUCUUCUGCCGUAUUCGUACUUUGCAUGCUUUUACCAAAAUGCACGUACGGCAGCUUGCUUCCACUAUACGUGGCACGUACACAUUGUGAAACUACAUUUCAAUCUUGCUCUGUUUUUGCGCUGGGUGCAGCCAAGCUUCUGGGCUUCGACGACUUCAUCCCCCCCUUCGCCGGCGCGACCAGCGACCAGCUCCUCACCGGCGUCAACUUCGCCUCCGCCGCCGCCGGCAUCCGGGAAGAGACCGGGCAGCAGCUGGUACGUCACGUAGUCUACUACCACCUUCAUGCUACUACGCGCUCUGUUACUACGUAGCAAUCUCGAAUGUCAUGCCGAUUCCUCAAGAGAUGCUUCUGGCUGCAGGGUGGGCGCAUCAGCUUCAGCGGGCAGGUGCAGAACUACCAGAGCGCGGUGGAGCAGCUGGUGAGCAUCCUGGGGGACGAGGACGCGGCGGCGAACCGCCUGAGCCAGUGCAUCUUCACCGUCGGCAUGGGCAGCAACGACUACCUCAACAACUACUUCAUGCCGGCCUUCUACAACACCGGCAGCCGCUACACGCCGGCGCAGUACGCCGACGACCUGGCGGCGCGCUACACGCAGCUCCUGCGCGCGCUCUACAGCUACGGGGCGCGCAAGGUGGCGCUCAUCGGCGUGGGGCAGGUCGGGUGCAGCCCCAACGAGCUGGCCACGCAGAGCGCCAACGGCGUGGCCUGCGUCGACCGGAUCAACGUUGCCGUCCGGAUGUUCAACCAGCGGCUCGUCGGCAUGGUCGACCAGUUCAACCGCCUCCUCCCCGGCGCGCACUUCACCUACAUCAACAUCGACGGCAUCUUCUCCGACAUCCUCCGGGCGCCGGGCGGCCAUGGCCUGAAGGUGACCAACCGGGGCUGCUGCGGCGUGGGGCGGAACAACGGGCAGGUCACCUGCCUGCCGUUCCAGACGCCGUGCCCCAACCGCAACGAGUACCUCUUCUGGGACGCCUUCCACCCCACCGAGGCCGCCAACGUGCUCGUCGGCCAGCGGGCCUACGCCGCCCGGCUCGCCUCCGACGUGCACCCCGUCGACCUCCGCACCCUUGCAAGCCUCUAGCCCGCCCGCUCGUCGGAGGGAGGGGCGACGGCCGCCGCCGUUGGUGUCGGUGAAAAAUAUGCAUAAUUCUGAUUCUACGGUGUACCAGCACAUACAAGAUGAUACGUUUGCGUCUGAAUUUUGCACCAACUGUACCCUCUUACUCAGUUCACAGUGCUUCAGAUGGGCAACCAACCAUGUACUACAAUUGUGCAGCAUUUAAUAUAAUACUGUAUAAACAACUGUCUUUGGCUGAGAAGAAUAGCUUGCAGUUCACAGAAUUCAUUAAUUUGCUGGAAGAAUUUAGUCUGCAAAAACAUAUGAAUAGGAAUGCAACAAGCUUGGGGCUUCGUAUUACCACCACUGCCAAAGUCACAUGAGGAAAAUAACAGAUUUUCCCUUCCAAUGCUAGAAAAUUCUACCUAUGGCAGCACUGAAACUACCAUCUGACCAAGAUGAAAAGGCAGGGCUCUCGACGAUUGAUCGCUCGAAAACAAACAAACAACAAUGGUUUCAACAUGAAAAGUUGGAAAAUAAUAGAACUUCUCUUCCAAUGCUGGAAAACUCCAUCUAUCCCAGCUGAAACUACCAUCUAACCAAGAUGAAAGGGCAGAGAUGCUGCCGAUUGCUUGAGGACAAAUACAAUCUAACCUAAAUGGAGGAGCCAGGAGCAUAUUACAACAACAACAACAGUAGGGAAGGGCUAGCGAUAUUACGGGAGAAACUGAUGCAAGAUGCCAGCUCCGUCCCAUAAGAUCAUUUAUCUGGUUUCAGGUUGGGCUUGGUACGAAGUAUCUUCAUGAUUAGCUAGUCUGAUGACGACGAAAAGACUCAUUAACCCUGGGAACGGUUAAACUCUGCAGCUUCAGCACAGGUCGGUCUUCUUCGACGCACCUACUGCGCGAGCAUCAUUCUCCACUUCAAGCUGUAUGACCGAACGCACAGGCCAGGAAUCCACCUGGUCCAAGCUAGCACUAGCACAUGGCUGGAGUAUGUGCUUUGCUCCAGAUUGCAACUUAACAGGUCUAGUACCCACAGUACUGGAAGAAUCUGUCAACGCCGAACGUGUAUUUGCACCACUGGUUACAGCUCGAAGAAUUGUUUCAGGUCCGCUGAGACGAACUGGCAUAUCUCGGGGUUGCCCACUGUUGAGACGAACUGGCAUAUCUCGGGGUUGCCCACCGUUGAGACGAACUGGCAUAUCUCGGGGUUGCCCACCGUUGAGACGAACUGGCAUAUCUCGGGGCUGCCCACCUGGUCUGGAUCCAUAGAUUUCUACCAGGAGUGGAGGCGGAUUUAGGUCCUUUCGUACUGCUAUGCAAGGUUUUUUUGGUGAUGUCAAUAACACAUCAUCCUUUUCUGCCGGUCCUUUGAAACUCUUGUUGAUUUGCUUCGAACUCUCAAGACUCGAUCUUGAUACUACUACGGUGGCCUGUUUCAUGCUCCCCUUGUCUUCAAAGAUCACACCACCUGGAGCAUUACUUUUACCUGGUUCACGAGGCAGGGGAACUAGUGGCCGGGGUGCAGUAGAUCCAUGAGGCCGUGCAGCUUCACUGCUAAAAACAUGAGCAGAGACCAUUGAAGGGGGCAAUGGUCGGAGUGAGGUAAACUUUGUUUGAGUUGUUGAUGGUGCAGCAGUGCUCUGAACAGAGUAGCCAGACAUACAGUUGGAUAUUGGGGUCAUUUGUGUCAUGCUGCUGCUGUUUUCAGGGAAAAGGCUGAACUGAGAUGGCCCUGGUCUUGUUUCUGCAAUGUUUUUGAACUUGUUCCAUGGAUCGUAAGAUGGCUUUGUUGCAACACUAGCGGUACGUCCGCAGUGCGCAGGACCAGGUUGUAGAUGAUUAGCAGUACUCUGAACUUGAUUUGCCACAGCUGGUUGCUGAUGCCCCAGUCUGACCUCAUUGUACCUGCUCACCGGUUGCAUAGACACCUUGUUUGGCACGGCUAGUUGAUGUUGACGACUCUGAUUACUUUUGCUGAAACCGGGCCCUUGCUCAGCUGCUGGAACAGAAGAAAAACGUGAUGCAUAUUCAGAUGGUGGUCUUCCUCCAUUCAAAAUCCUAAAUGUUGCAGCAGGAUCAACCAAACCUUCAUGAAACAAUUGCGGAGAAACUUGUGUGUACAUCCCCAGAAAGCAACGAUCUUCAGCUCUGAUUUGGUUACUGGAACAUGGACCACAGUUUUCUAAACCCCCAAUGCCGGUUCCAAGACUAACUGUUUUGCCCAUUAGGCGCAUCGUCGUUUCAGCAGCAGGUUGGAUAUUCUGCUUAUAAUUCUGUCUUGGGAAACAGCUUUGCAUCUCAAGUGACUUCAGCAGUUGAUCAUCAUGUCCCAGGAAUCGAGCGCCCAAACAUUGCUCUGAACUCCCUUGCUGGUUCCUGCAUGAAUAUAUGCUGCUGGGAAUUGCAUGGUUAUGAGCUUCCACUCUUUCAGAGCUGGGAUGCUGUCUGAACCCCAUACUGAGUGCAGUUGGCAUUGUGGGGAUAAGACGAGGGUCUGGCUGAAUACCAAAAUUAGCAACUGUAAAAAAUGGUGGGGCUUCAUGGUUGAUUCUCAAAUGGGCAUAAUCCAAGGAAGUAUUAGGUGUGAAGAAAGUUGGAGGUGUUGAAGGAUGCAAAGAAUCCUUCCCCAAGCAUUGUGUUUUAAGCAGCUCAUCGGGAUUAAGGGUACCACCAGUUUGAACCCUGACAAAUUCACCAUGCGAAUUAAUAGGAAGACCCAUAUAGCCGUCACUGUACAUGUUCCUGCAUGCAGAUACACAGACUGUAGGUUGUGCAUUUGUUGAUUUGUUUGACCCUGUUGAGGUGUUUAUAUUGCUCACCACGUCAUUACCAGAUCUAAGAACACUAGGAUGAACUUCUGUCAAGUGGCGAUUAGCAAUCAACCUUUCCUGAAGAAUUGUGCUUCUAUUCCUAUCCAAUGCUUCUUUGAGAGAAGCAGCAUAGCCAGAACUAUAAGGAUGUGGCAAUGGAGUUCUCAUAAGAUAUUCUGGUCUUUUGUUGACUGCUAAACCAGCAGGAACAGAUGGUCCUCUUGGCAUCAUCUGACAGUUUUCUUCAGCUUGACGCCCAAUACCAAGACAUGGGCCUUCUUGCAAACGGAAAUUAACGCCAGCAGACUUUUGAGCAAGCCCUGGACUAGGCAGGGCAGCUGAGCUCAUGGAGCUCAAACGGUUGCCGUUGUCCCUCUUAGAGAUCUCUAUGCAAUGACUCAGAUACACAGGUUUGGUAAGUGGAACAGUAUGGGAGGCACCAGUUGAACCUACCUUCUCAGAUAAAGAGCUGCUAUCCUGCUCAAUAGUCCCCGAUAAAGCAUCUAUCUGCUGAUGCACCAACUCUGGCUCUUCUGUAUUGAGCUGAUCAUUGACUACCUGAGAAUUGUCUCUCUGGGACGGUUGCUGGGAUGCCUGAACCACCUGUGAUUGCUCCGUGUUAUCUUCAGUUUGGGAGGCAGUCAACCCACAUAUGUCAGCUGUGUCCGAAAAAGUAACAUGUUUUGAUUUGAGAGAAGACUUUGACGGACACGUGACAUCAGAGUUUUUCAGAAAUGUGCCCUCUCCUGUUCCUAAGUGUUUCUUAAGAAUGGUUUGAACUUCACAACCAUUCUCCAUAGCCUUCUGAUUAGACAAAACUGACUUCUUGCUUCCAUUUAUAUUUUUCUUGUUCGGUAAAACUGAGACCUCUUGAUUUUUCCUUUUCUUGCUAGGAGACUUUUUCAGCUUCCUCUUUUGUAUGGCAUCUUGAAAUAAUUGGGAAAUGCUAAGUGAGUUAGCGUUCGCAUUUUCACCUUUCUCCUGAAAAGGAAAAGAUGACAGAUCACCAUUCUAAGUGAGAUAGCCUUCACAUUUAGAAAAGCAGUAUAGCACAUACAGAGUCCAAUUGCAACAUAAUUAAGAUGUCACCAUGCAACUCAACUCAAAGUAUAUAUAUAUAUAUAUAUAUAUAUAUAUAUAUAUAUAUAUAUAUAUAUUGAUUGUACACUAAUCAUGUUUUACACUAUGACGUUUUGCGACAAAGUUGAGUAGGUGGGUGUACCUACCAAUGCGCAUGAUACAAGUAUGAAGCUUUGGCCAUUUACUGGUUUAUCAGGAAGUAAGGGAGCAAGAACAGAAGAGUGCACGAGCAAGCACGGACCGACAUACUGCUUAUGGUAAGAGCACGUUAAACACAAUCCACACCUAUUCUUUACUUGCAAGUCAUCAAUACAAGCUUGCUUUUUUCUACAGGAAAACACUCAAAGGCAUGUCAGAUCUGAUUUAUCUUAAGGGAACAAUUACAAGGACAAGAGCAGCCAACGCUGCACAAAUAAAAUAAACCACCACAAGCACCUAAUGAGCUCCAAUUGCCUCAUGGCAUUUGAAGAUUGCAACUGAAGCCCAAAACCCUAGCGACGGGACUAAGACAACGUCGAUGGAACAUCAGCAGGGCCACGCCCCAAGCUUGUGGGCGCUCCGACCCGGUGCCACCACUUGCGCAUGGUCUGCAUGACGAAAGCGAACCAACCAUCCUGCACCAAGCAAAACGAAGGUCCAUCAUCAUCCUCAACCAGAUCUGGCAUAGCCACCAGUGCUGCUAAGUGCUAACACUUCUAGCACACCUCCACUGAC
This 21367-nucleotide long non-coding RNA is filed under the name Triticum aestivum (bread wheat). RNAcentral's name for it is "long non-coding RNA (TAES_LNC025382)". The record is from RNAcentral. Lineage: Eukaryota; Viridiplantae; Streptophyta; Magnoliopsida; Poales; Poaceae.